RNAcentral lists this ribosomal RNA (920 nucleotides) under Nocardiopsis dassonvillei subsp. dassonvillei. RNAcentral describes it as "bacterial SSU rRNA". It matches the Rfam family "Bacterial small subunit ribosomal RNA", at positions 8 to 931 of the family's 1533-position model. The record is from RNAcentral. Lineage: Bacteria; Bacillati; Actinomycetota; Actinomycetes; Streptosporangiales; Nocardiopsidaceae.
AGAGUUUGAUCAUGGCUCAGGACGAACGCUGGCGGCGUGCUUAACACAUGCAAGUCGAGCGGUAAGGCCCUUCGGGGUACACGAGCGGCGAACGGGUGAGUAACACGUGAGCAACCUGCCCCCGACUCCGGGAUAAGCGGUGGAAACGCCGUCUAAUACCGGAUACGACCGGCCACCUCAUGGCGGACGGUGGAAAGUUUUUCGGUUGGGGAUGGGCUCGCGGCCUAUCAGCUUGUUGGUGGGGUAACGGCCUACCAAGGCGAUUACGGGUAGCCGGCCUGAGAGGGCGACCGGCCACACUGGGACUGAGACACGGCCCAGACUCCUGCGGGAGGCAGCAGUGGGGAAUAUUGCGCAAUGGGCGAAAGCCUGACGCAGCGACGCCGCGUGGGGGAUGACGGCCUUCGGGUUGUAAACCUCUUUUACCUCUAACGCAGGCCCCGAGUUCUCUGCAGGUUGACGGUAGGUGGGGAAUAAGGACCGGCUAACUACGUGCCAGCAGCCGCGGUAAUACGUAGGGUCCGAGCGUUGUCCGGAAUUAUUGGGCGUAAAGAGCUCGUAGGCGGCGUGUCGCGUCUGCUGUGAAAGACCGGGGCUUAACCCCGGUUCUGCAGUGGAUACGGGCAUGCUAGAGGUAGGUAGGGGAGACUGGAAUUCCUGGUGUAGCGGGGAAAUGCGCAGGUAUCAGGAGGAACACCGGUGGCGAAGGCGGGUCUCUGGGCCCCACCUGACGCUGAGGAGCGAAAGCAUGGGGAGCGAACAGGAUUAUAUACCCUGGUAGUCCAUGCCGUAAACGUUGGGCGCUAGGUGUGGGGACUUUCCACGGUUUCCGCGCCGUAGCUAACGCAUUAAGCGCCCCGCCUGGGGAGUACGGCCGCAAGGCUAAAACUCAAAGGAAUUGACGGGGGCCCGCACAAGCG